AAUAUCUGUAACGAAAUAAAUGUAUUCAGGAAUUUCUGUUAGAUUUAUAAUUAAAUUAGGGCUUUUAAAGAAAUCUCAUGCAUACCAUAAAAUUCAAUAUUUUACGCCGUACAUUUCCAUGCAAAAAUCGCUUGAACAUUGAGUGGUUGAUGAUGAGACUUCUAUAUAUCAAUAUUACCUACUGAUACGAUUAUAAAUUGUAGGCCUGGCGGUAGAACUAAACUGUGAUAUUCGACAAAGUACACAGAUUACCCGCCAAAGUAUUUAAUCUUAAGCAAUUGAAUAUACCAGACAUUCAUUGCGGUGUUUGGAAAAAAAAACUAACUCCAGAAUGCGGCGAGUAUAUUUUACUAACCAUUUUCUAAAAUUGGAAUUGGGAUGCAUGUUUUGAGCUCCAAAGCGAAGAAACUCUCAACCCAACAAAGAUUCUUGUAUGCUAUAAGCUCAGAAGCGGGCACAAUAGAUCCAGCAGGUCGCAGUGCAUAUAUUCCAAGAACAAUAAUAAUAAAAUCUUAAUUUAUUCAGU
Molecule: long non-coding RNA, 526 nt
Organism: Drosophila grimshawi
Lineage: Eukaryota; Metazoa; Arthropoda; Insecta; Diptera; Drosophilidae
Exons: 2
Source: RefSeq, a predicted model, not a curated record